GAUGAAGAACGUAGCGAAAUGCGAUAAGUAAUGUGAAUUGCAGAAUUCCGUGAAUCAUCGAAUCUUUGAACGCACAUUGCGCCCCUUGGUAUUCCGGGGGGCAUGCCUGUUCGAGCGUCAUUUCAACCCUCAAGCUCUGCUUGGUAUUGGGCUCCGUCCUCAGGGACGCGCCUCAAAGACCUCGGCGGUGGCGUCUUGCCUCAAGCGUAGUAGAAAACACCUCGCUUUGGAGUGCUGGGCGUCGCCCGCCGGACGAACCUUUGAAUUUUUCUCAAGGUUGACCUCGGAUCAGGUAGGGAUACCCGCUGAACUUAAGCAUAUCAAUAAGCGGAGGA
This 335-nucleotide unclassified non-coding RNA is filed under the name soil metagenome. RNAcentral's name for it is "partial contains 5.8S ribosomal RNA, internal transcribed spacer 2, and large subunit ribosomal RNA". The stretch from base 1 to 120 matches the Rfam family "5.8S ribosomal RNA", at positions 35 to 154 of the family's 154-position model. The record is from RNAcentral.